AUGGGCGAGGCACUGGCCUUACGGUUUGUUCUCAGUUUGACUACUACAUUCGGAUAUAACCGUAUAGAGGUGAACUCCGACAACAUCGAGGUGAUAGAGACAAUGAAGAAUGGAGGUCGCUCUUUUGGUCCAUCGACGGCAGUUUUUGAUGAUAUAUAUCACCUUGUGUGUGAUUUUCCGCGGAUUAUUUUUGAGCAUGCUCUUAGAGAGUCUAAUUAUACUGCCCAUGAUUUAGCCAAACUACAUAGAAGUAAGGUGUGUGCGGGGUGGAUAGAAGAUUCACCCGUAAAGAUUGUUGAUACUCUUGUAAAAGAUAAUAUGAUGAUCAUCUUGCAAUAA
RNAcentral lists this ribosomal RNA (339 nucleotides) under Triticum aestivum (bread wheat). RNAcentral's name for it is "partial small subunit ribosomal RNA". The record is from RNAcentral. Lineage: Eukaryota; Viridiplantae; Streptophyta; Magnoliopsida; Poales; Poaceae.